Microcebus murinus (gray mouse lemur) is the source of this 618-nucleotide non-coding RNA. Lineage: Eukaryota; Metazoa; Chordata; Mammalia; Primates; Cheirogaleidae. The record is from RefSeq and is a predicted model, not a curated record.
CAUCUUGCGCGGCUGAGGCCUGUGGGCGCGUCCUCCGUGGGGAUCGAUGUUGUCACACUUCACUUGGAAAUACCCUUAGCCGUCGCCUUUGUAAACAAGACAUCCCGUCACUCGAGCCUGGAGCGCCCCUCGGUCCCGCCGGGCCUCAAGAUCGGGCCUCUUGCCGCGGGUCGUCCGUGCGCGCCCACUCGAGGCCCGCGGGCGCCGUGGAGAGCGGCCGAGACUGAGUCACAGAAUUGUUGGGGACUAGCCCGCUUGGCCACCUCACACAAGAACCACUGCAGAGAAACUUCUGUCCCUGUGGAAUUCCUGGGCUCGUUCAAUGUGGAGGACGCUCCUGCCACCAUGAGCAGAUGAUGUGGCUGUUUCAGCCUGGGGGUUACCAUCUCCUUUGCUCCACUUGAUCAGAGAUAUCAGACAUUUGCCCAAACCAAGGAGCAUUUUGGAGCAUCAGGAGAGGCCACAUGAAACAUGGGUGGCCGGGCCAAGCCACACUGCUGCUCCUCUCCCUGCUGGGGGCCCAGUCCCUAAAGGCUCCACACCAGAUAUGAGGGUGCUGUGUGUCCCCCAAUCCCUGCCCUGCAGCAUUUGUUGGUAUUAAAGUAACAUUAUAAUGGA